Molecule: unclassified non-coding RNA, 362 nt
Filed under: uncultured fungus
Lineage: Eukaryota; Fungi
Description: partial contains small subunit ribosomal RNA, internal transcribed spacer 1, and 5.8S ribosomal RNA
Rfam family: Eukaryotic small subunit ribosomal RNA (bases 1-73)
Source: RNAcentral
GCAAACUUGGUCAUUUAGAGGAAGUAAAAGUCGUAACAAGGUUUCCGUAGGUGAACCUGCGGAAGGAUCAUUACCGAGUUAGGGUUCUCUCCCGAGGCCCGACCUCCCAACCCUGUGUCUAACAAACCUGUAUGUGUUGCUUCGGUGGACCGGCAGUCCCCUCACGGGGGUCCGUCGCCGGGGGAGACAACGGCCUCACGGCCCGCCCCUGGAGAGUGUCCGCCGAUGGCCCCAUUAACAAACCUUCCCAAACCCAAAAUCUUGUACCUAAAACUUCUGAAUCAGACAUUUUGAUGUACCAAUCAAAAAACAAAACUUUCAACAACGGAUCUCUUGGUUCUGGCAUCGAUGAAGAACGCAGC